CCUACGGGAGGCAGCAGUGGGGAAUAUUGCACAAUGGGCGCAAGCCUGAUGCAGCGACGCCGCGUGAGGGAUGACGGCCUUCGGGUUGUAAACCUCUUUCAGUAGGGAAGAAGCGAAAGUGACGGUACCUGCAGAAGAAGCGCCGGCUAACUACGUGCCAGCAGCCGCGGUAAUACGUAGGGCGCAAGCGUUAUCCGGAAUUAUUGGGCGUAAAGAGCUCGUAGGCGGUUUGUCGCGUCUGCCGUGAAAGUCCGGGGCUCAACUCCGGAUCUGCGGUGGGUACGGGCAGACUAGAGUGAUGUAGGGGAGACUGGAAUUCCUGGUGUAGCGGUGAAAUGCGCAGAUAUCAGGAGGAACACCGAUGGCGAAGGCAGGUCUCUGGGCAUUAACUGACGCUGAGGAGCGAAAGCAUGGGGAGCGAACAGGAUUAGAUACCCUGGUAGUCCAUGCCGUAAACGUUGGGCACUAGGUGUGGGGGACAUUCCACGUUUUCCGCGCCGUAGCUAACGCAUUAAGUGCCCCGCCUGGGGAGUACGGCCGCAAGGCUAAAACUCAAAGGAAUUGACGG
This 568-nucleotide ribosomal RNA is filed under the name uncultured bacterium. RNAcentral describes it as "bacterial SSU rRNA". It matches the Rfam family "Bacterial small subunit ribosomal RNA", at positions 338 to 916 of the family's 1533-position model. The record is from RNAcentral.